Molecule: unclassified non-coding RNA, 448 nt
Filed under: Hevea brasiliensis (rubber tree)
Lineage: Eukaryota; Viridiplantae; Streptophyta; Magnoliopsida; Malpighiales; Euphorbiaceae
Source: RNAcentral
CUCGUUCGUCGUAUGGGUUAUAUCUCACCUUCUCUUUCUAUAAAAACCUCACCUUUCUUCUCUAUUCUCACAAAAAACCCUUUUCCAUUUCAUCAUCUUCAUCCUAUCCAAUUCUUCAAACCAAUUCACACCAAAUCCCCACAAACCCAUCUCUUUUCCAUGAACCAAAAACCCCAUUUCACCACUUCCGCUGCUUUUCUCCAAGAACCCACAAACACAAAAACAUUGUCUAACAGGUCGGCCAAGAAAGCUCGCCGUGACGCCCCUGAGAGUGUGCUGCGUCAUCAGUUAGACCAGUGUUCUAAACGGGGUGAUUUACAGGAAGCAAUUCGACUUUAUGAAGAAGCUAAGUUAAACAAUAUUACCCUUAAUGUUCAUCAUUAUAAUGUGUUGCUUUAUCUUUGUUCUUCUGGUUCGGGUACUGAGGGAUGUGGGAUUGAGAAAGGAU